UAGUCAUAUGCUUGUCUCAAAGAUUAAGCCAUGCAUGUGUAAGUUUAAGCCCUUGUACGGCGAAACUGCGAAUGGCUCAUUAAAACAGUUAUAGUUUAUUUGAUAAUCAACUUACUACAAGGAUAACUGUAGUAAUUCUAGAGCUAAUACUUGCGUCAACACCCGACUUCACGGAAGGGUCGUGUUUAUUAGAUACAAAACCAACCUGGAGUUCGCUCCAGAGCUAUUGGUGAUUCAUAAUAACCAAACGGAUCGGCGGUCCCGCCGAUGGAUCAUU
This 277-nucleotide ribosomal RNA is filed under the name uncultured eukaryote. Its description in RNAcentral is "partial 18S ribosomal RNA". It matches the Rfam family "Eukaryotic small subunit ribosomal RNA", at positions 21 to 299 of the family's 1831-position model. The record is from RNAcentral.